Molecule: ribosomal RNA, 321 nt
Filed under: Triticum aestivum (bread wheat)
Lineage: Eukaryota; Viridiplantae; Streptophyta; Magnoliopsida; Poales; Poaceae
Description: partial small subunit ribosomal RNA
Source: RNAcentral
AUGGACCAUGAGCCAGCUGUUACAUUGUCCUUGCCGGCGACGGGGCAGCAGUCCGUCCGAGACGAAAUUAAAUUUCUCCCCUCGCGCCACGUCGGUGGCUGCAGCUUCCCUCCUCGUCCUCCACCUCUCUUGCGGCUUGGAGAUCUUCUCGGCGUACUAGGGAUUAGUAAAGGGACUAAAGAAAUAAAAACAACAACGACUAAUUCAUUCACCAAUAUAUUUUUGAAAAGUCGAAAGAUAAGCGAUAAUGAUUUUGUGAAAGAUUCUAGGAUGUUAAUUGGUAAAAGGAUUAGAGUUGGUUUAUUUUAUUUCUCAAAAUAG